GCGGUCGUGGCGGAAUGGUAGACGCGCUAGCUUGAGGUGCUAGUGGGGGAAACCCCGUGGAAGUUCGAGUCUUCUCGUCCGCA
Molecule: transfer RNA, 83 nt
Filed under: Rhodovarius crocodyli
Lineage: Bacteria; Pseudomonadati; Pseudomonadota; Alphaproteobacteria; Acetobacterales; Roseomonadaceae
Rfam family: tRNA
About the family: Transfer RNA (tRNA) molecules are approximately 80 nucleotides in length. Their secondary structure includes four short double-helical elements and three loops (D, anti-codon, and T loops). Further hydrogen bonds mediate the characteristic L-shaped molecular structure. tRNAs have two regions of fundamental functional importance: the anti-codon, which is responsible for specific mRNA codon recognition, and the 3' end, to which the tRNAs corresponding amino acid is attached (by aminoacyl-tRNA synthetases). tRNAs cope with the degeneracy of the genetic code in two manners: having more than one tRNA (with a specific anti-codon) for a particular amino acid; and 'wobble' base-pairing, i.e. permitting non-standard base-pairing at the 3rd anti-codon position.
Source: Rfam by way of RNAcentral